AAACACCUCAAGGUUUUGGUUUAACUAUCAUUUAACUCUUUCCAAAGGAUAUAUACGAGACUCGUGACAGGAGACCCAUGUGCUGUCCGCACAUUUUCAUGAAUGAGAGAUCUUUUUUUUCUAAAGAAGCAUCAAUCAGUUUCGAUUAAUCAAAGUAUUUGAUUUCAGCCUCUAACAACUGAUCUCUCAAAAACGUGUUGAGGCUCAGUCAUUUUGAGUGCAGUUUAGGAUUAGCAUGAUUUUUCCAUUGUAAAAAAAAAAAACGAUGUAAAAAUGGGGGACCUGAGCCCUAGGACCAUGCCUCAGGACUACCUGGCAUGAUGACUCCUUGCUCUCCCCAGUCCACCUGGCCGUGCUGCUGCUCCAGUUUCAACUGUUCUGCCUGUGGCUAUGGAAUACUGAACUGUUCACCGGACGUGCUACCUGUCCCAGACCUGCUGUUUUCAACUCUCUAGAGACAGCAGGAGUGGUAGAGAUACUCUGAAUGAUCGGCUAUGAAAAGCCAACUGACAUUUACUCCUGAGGUGCUGACCUGUUGCACCCUCGACAACCACUGUGAUUAUUAUUAUUUGACCCUGCUGGUCAUCUAUGAACAUUUGAACAUCUUUGCCAUGUUCUGUUAUAAUCUCCACCUGGCACAGCCAGAAGAGGACUGGCCACUCCUCAUAGCCUGGUUCCUCUCUAGGUUUCUUCCUAGGUUCUUGCCUUUCUAGGGAGUUUUUCCUAGCCACUGUGCUUCAACACCUACAUUGCUUGCUGUUUGGGGUUUUUAGGCUGGGUUUCUGUACAGCACUUUGUGACAUAAGCUGAUAUAAGAAGGGCUUUAUAAAUACAUUUGAUUGAUUGAUAUUUCUCAUGUUUCUUGGACCAAGCAAGUCUCUUCUUAUUAUUGGUGUCCUUUAGUAGUAGUUUCCUUGCAGCAAUUUUACCAUGAAGGCAGGAUUCACGCAGUCCCCUCUGAACAGUUGAUGAUGAGAUGGAGCCGUUACUUGAACUCUGUGAAGAAUUUAUUUGGGAUGCAAUUUCUGAGGCUGCUAACUCGAAUGAACUUAUCCUCUGCAGCAGAGGUAACUCUGGGUCUUCCUUUCCUGUGGCGGUCCUCAUGAGAGCCAGCUUCAUCAUAGCGCUUGAUGGUUUUGCGACUGCACUUGAAGAAAUGUUCAAAGUUCUUUAAAAUGUUCUGUAUGGACUGACCUUCAUGUAUUAAAAUAAGGACGGGCUGUUGUUUCUCUUUGCUUAUUUGUGCUGUUCAUGCCAUAAUAUGGGCUUGGUCUAUUACCGAAUAUACCACACCUACCUUGUCACAACACAACUGAAUGGCUCAAAUGCAUGAAGAAGGAAAGAAAUUCCACAAAUUAACUUUUAACAAGGCACAUCUGUUAAUUGAAAUGCAUUCCAGAUGACUACCUCAUGAAGAUGGUUGAGAGUAUGCCAAGAGGGUGCAAAGCUGACAUCAAGGCAAAGGGUGGCUACUUUGAGGAAUCUCAAAUAUAAAAUAUAUUUUGAUUAGUUUAACACUUUUUUUUGUUACUACAUGAUUCCAUAUGUGUUAUUUUAUAGUUUUGAUGUCUUCA
Molecule: long non-coding RNA, 1574 nt
Organism: Oncorhynchus tshawytscha (Chinook salmon)
Lineage: Eukaryota; Metazoa; Chordata; Actinopteri; Salmoniformes; Salmonidae
Source: Ensembl